UGUGGUUACGCCAAACGUCAUUCACCCCACGCCUUACUUUUCAGAACUCAUUGCAAUUUUUUUAUUUCAAAUCUCACCCUAAGACUUGUCUCAGAUAAAUUUCUCAUGCUGAUUGUCCCUCAUAAACUGCUUAAAUGUGUAAAUAUUUUUGUCUCCACUCUCAGCAACACCAUAAAAGCUGCUGAGGGUGGCCCAGUAACAUCCCAUUUUAUCUAGCUUUUACCUUUGUCAGGGUGCAGUUACUGGGAGUAACGUUUUCCACGCUGAAUGCUGCAUCAAGCUGAUUUGUGUAAGUGUGUGACACGCAGUGUAAACUGGGGAGCCAAGCCAGUGGAAAAUGCAUUGUUUUGCCGUUCUUGCUUUUGCUCAUUUAUAGCGAUUGAGAGCAGGAAUUCAAAACUUGGCUAAGCCUUAUUUGGGUGAAGUAAGCAGGUCUGUCAGCCUGAUGUUAGCGAUGUGCUUUUAGCCAUCUUCAUGAAAACCUUCUGAAACCCGGCCAACUUGUAAAUCCCGGAGAAAUCUGUUUGCCUGAGCUGGGUGCAGUGUGUGAGCAGAGUCUGUCGGUGUGAGCAGGGGGCUGGGUGGGCUGCCCUCCAGGUUUCCCUCAUAGGCUGCUGCCGUGUUCUCCUCCUCCUGAUGCUUCUCCCCUUGUAGGUCCAGAAUGAGAGAGUUGUGGUUACCUUUUAUGUUUCCUGUACUGCACUUCCCGCGGCGGUGUCUGGACCUGAUGAAAGGUUGUGGGCUGUGAUGUAACAAUAAUAGGAGCAAUAAUUUUGGGCGAGGCUUCGACAAUACAGCAGUUAAAACGUUGUCAGGAGACAAUAAUGCUACUGUAACUCAAUGGCGAAUGUGUGGCACCUGUCCUUGUCAGAGCCAGUUUGUCUUAAUACAGGCAACAUGUGCAGUGAGCCCCACCGAGUUCAUGAAACGGAUGCGGAACGUAAAAGAACGAGAGUUGUGUUCCCUUGAAAUGAACGGGAGAAAUCCAGAAAACUCAAUCUGCUGCUCGGGUUACUAAGUGCUUCCACAUUGCUUCACAAUUUCAAAGCACGUACGUCCUCUCUUAAAUCAAG
RNAcentral lists this long non-coding RNA (1073 nucleotides) under Numida meleagris (helmeted guineafowl). RNAcentral's name for it is "lncRNA (ENSNMEG00000004059.1)". Lineage: Eukaryota; Metazoa; Chordata; Aves; Galliformes; Numididae. The record is from RNAcentral.